UAAAGCAUUUUCAAAUAAUAAUCACAUUUCAUUCUAUUCUUCUGUGGACCCGUUUCAAUGAGAGCUGUGCUUUUAACAGACAGAAAUGGCUAAUGAAAGGGGGAAUCAGAGAGAGGAGAAGGGAGGGGAGUGAAAAAUAGAAGAUAAGAGCUUUAAAAAGACGUGUGAAGAGAAGAAACUGAGACUUUUUUCUGUCUAAGAUGCCCUUUUCUUUUAUUCCUCUUAUCAGUUUAGGGUCAGUUUGAUCGGCUGGUUUUUGCUCACCACUGGAUUAUACCAGCAGUGUCCCGACGUGUAAACAAGAGCAACUGAGGUUUAAUGCCUGAUAACAUAAACAGAGUUAUCGUAUGGUUUAUCCCAGGACUAAUAUGGCUGUUUGUCUACUAACUCUGCAAUUUGUAUGCCAGUGAUGUCCGGCCAUGAGGACUGCGUUCUCUUUGAAAAGGAGCACAGAUGUGACCCAGAGGAAUAGAUUUGACUGUUGAUGUGCUCAUCACUGAAUCUGAUGAGCAAGCAGAGGAGAGAAGAGGAAGAAUACAAAGGGGGGGAGUGAAUGGGAUCGAAAUGAGUACUACAACCCCCUCGUCUCUCCUCUUUACCCAUUAAGGAACAACAUAAUAAUUCAUUAACCAAAGCCUCCCCCGCGUGUCGUUUCUGUGUGGGUAUCCAGUCGCAGGAAGAACCCACAUCUGAGAGAGUCUUCUCCAGCUGUAGAGGGUUUUUGUGUGUGUCACUGAAUGACAGGGAGGCAGACGGAGAGAAAGCGAAGGGAGGAGGAUAUCUGGGGCAGCGGAGCUGGUUGAGUCGGCUGCAAAGAUAAACACAGGAUGGAUUUCUGCACAAAGUGACCAAGGAGCAGCUGCCUCACACAUUUAAGACAGGAUGUCUGGGAUGGACUUCCUGCCAGAGGAGCAUAAUGAGACUGCAAUCACUCCAAUAAACAACGGGACUUUCCUCCGUUUUUCCCCAAUUUUACCCUCCACGUCUGCUGCUGCCUCCUCGUUGGGGCGCCAGAGCAACCUCUACGUGUACGUGUGGCUGUUCCUCGGCCUGCUGGCGUUCCUGCUGACGCUACUCAUCAUCUCCCUCCACAGGCUAAAGAACAUCAUUUCCUCUUCAUCCUCUAUCCCAGACUGCAGCAGCGAGGGAGGCAGUUCUUUCACAAACAUGGAGAUCUGUAGCAUUUCGUCCCAGAGGUCUACCAUAUCCACCAUUUCUGCCUGAGGGAGAUGGUUGAGAACUCAUGCAGUACAGACUCCAGUGUUUUUCUGCUUUCAUCUGUGCAUGAGCACGUGCACAUCCCAGGACUUGGACACAAGGACUUCAUAUGUCAUUAAUAGGCAGCAUAAAAAAAAUGUGCAGACAGAAUGUCUUUAAACUUCAUGCAUGGAUGAUCCUACCUUCUGUCAGUCUCUGUGCAGACUUCCAGGGCACUGGCUUAUUAAAUGAUGGGCGAAAGGACUACUUUAUCUUAAUUUAACCAUCUAUAAAAGUAAACAUUUUUCCCCAAGAUAAAUGUAAAAUAUAACGUCAUUUUCUUUUCAAGAUAUUCCAGUUUUUUUAAAUGAGAUUUAACCAGUGAAGUCUGUAGAAAACAUCGCAAAACCCCCAUUAAAAGGACAUUAGAGAUGCCUGCUUUAUAGAGAAAUGUGAGCAUUUCUACCGGUUAUUCAGUUAAAGCAAAAGAUGGCAUUGAAAAUGUAAAGAUGUGUUCAGAUGGAGAUGACACAACUGCAGUUAUAAGAAACUGACAAAAUGCAUAGAGCUUCGCAUCUUGCAGACACUUCAGCUCAAAAGAGACAAAUACUACAAGAUGAUUCUAGUCCUGCCAGACAGGUCUAGCAACGCAACUCUGUCCAGCCUGUCUGCCCACAAAGCUCUCGAUCCCCGUCUCCAUAGAGACCAAAGACGGAGGAGAAUCUUGCGCAGCUGUCAGCCUCAUCUGUAUUCCAGGACGCCGUCGCAAUAGAAAAGAUUUCCCUUCAUUUGUGCUUCACUUCAGCGUCGUUGGAGCUAGUGUGACAUUAUGCACUGAAUUUUGAGCCAAUUCCUUUCACUUCAUUCACAUUUUUUUUAUAAAAUUAUUUUGCGUAUUGAAAACAACCAUGUAAGCAACAAGCAAAAACAAACCCAGCAAGUAACCCCGCUUUUGGAUAAAAACACGUUUUAUUAAACACCCCCCUAAAAGCCUGUAAAAAUCAUGUCGGAAACUAAUCCCUAUGGUCCAUUUUUAAUAGAGUAGAUAACGAAUAAGUCUUCAUUAUACAAUAUUGAACUUUAUUUUAUGUUUUCUUCCUAUAUUAAAAGGGAGGAGUGUGUCAAUGCUCUCAUUCAAAAACAGCAAAUCACACAAAAAGGGAUCCAACUGAAAAUAUUGUAGCGCAUGUAAACACGCUAAAGUACAAGUUAAGCAUAUUUAGACCAUUUUUUGCUGCAGCCCCAUUAUAAUUGCUGUUUUUUUGGUCAUUUUUUCACUUUGCAAACAUGGUUUUUAAAUCAAAAAAGCAAACACAUGCUUACAUUUAAAGAGGACAAUAAAGCUGGUUCAAAGUCAAGAGUUUGUUUGUUGGUCAAGUCGUGAGAUUAGAGACUGUCCAAAAAGAAUGCGAAGAACAAACAUACAUACAUACAUGCCUUUCAUGAAAUUGAUAUACUGUAAUAAAAAAAAGAAUAUAUUGAAGUGGAUAUGACAUAAUCAAGAGAAAACAAAAACUAAUAAAUAAAAUCAAGACUCAGCAGCUUACAAAUGCAUCUUUUUUUUUAAAUUAUUUUCCCUUUUUUUUUCUCUUGCUAUUAAGAGUUUCUAGAAUUAAGACAUCCCUUUUUUGUUUUUUUACCCCAUCCUGCUUAAGAUUCGUCUUGUUUACUGGAAAUGUUCUUCAUAUAUUCACACGCAUGCGUCCCUGUAGUGUUUCUCCUUUAAAUUCACUCUGAAUUAUUCACCGGACUCUGGAUAGCAGUCACCAUGCUUUUAUUUCCCUCUCGCCCUUUUACAACUCCUUGAUGACGUCAUCCCCAAUAGCCCGUCUUUUGCUAUACACUACAGUCCCUUAAAAUACAAACCUCUGGUCAGCUGUGCGUAAAAGGCGCGUGUGUUAUUCUCCUCCUUUACGUUUCUUCCUGCGCCGGUUCAUAAAUGAUUAAUGAGAAAUGAAUAUGCAAACAUUCAUAAACAGUGUGGGUCAGCCAAUCAGAAAGCAGAUCAUGUGGAGCUACUGUGAGAUUUCGGCUUCACAGUAAACUGAAACCUGGAAAUACUGUAGUUUUCUUGGUAAUUCUCAGAUCAGAUUAUUCCCAACUGGAUCAUAAUUCACAGCUUGUGCGUUUGUGUUUAUGCCACAAUUAUAGACCCAAUUUCGGGGAAAACCAUGGGUGACAGCACGGAAAGAGGAAAGUUACGCAUUUGAUGUCGUUUUCUACCUUAAGUAGAUUAUAUAUAAAUCACAUAAAAUUGGAUCCGAGUUUCUAUAUUUAACGUCCUUCAAUCACGUGGUGAAGUCUGUCGAUAAUGAGGGACGCAGGACGGGCAAGGGGCCCUAUUUUCAGCCGCAGAGCGCGGAGCGAUCAAUGCGUUCUAAAGCGCGGAGACGCACUUCCAAUCACAGUUUCUGUUGACAUUUUAAAAAUAGAAAUACAUUUCAAACAUGGCUGUAUAUUUUUUUUUGGUGACAUAUAGAUAAAAAAACAUUGUUAAAGCACGUACCUGCAUGCUUUUAUUCCAAUCAAAGCUGCUCCUUAUUGCGGCUUACAAGCAGUCACUCCUUUCAGAAUAAAAGUCUCUCGGGUCAUUGAGUGGAACAAAUUUGUGUCUUAUUUCAUAUUUAAGAAAGUUAAUAACUUCAGUUAUUCUUCUUCUAUCAUAAAAAUUAAAAGAAUUCCAAGAACUGAUCUAAUAAGUGUAAACAUAUAGCCUAUUUAAAAAAGAGCUCCUGCUCAUUGAUUUAUCAGGAGUUAAAUGACUGCACCUGUCUGCAAUUAUACAUUACAUUUGGUUGUACAUCAAUUUCAACCCUCCAAUGGGGUUAGGUGGGUUCAGCAAAUGAAUGAAUGCAUAGAUUUCAUCCUUACCUUUUUUCGUAAACAGAUGAAUGUGAGGCCUAAAGUUAUACAUAAAGUUAAAUAUGUUUUUACUUUUUUGCGCAUUAAAAACAAUUAAAUUUAUCCAUUAAAGUAGGGCCAGUGACUUUUGAACUAAAUACUAGAUUUUUUUAGUUUAUUUAAGUAUUAUGAAAACAGUAUUUUCAAGCAAAACCCUUGCAUUUAUAUAAAUAUGACAAAAAAUGCACAUUAAUAAAAAAAUCCCAGACCUCAAAUUCUUUGCAUAUUUUAUUUUUCUUAUGAUUUUUUUUCCAACUCACGCAUGUCAUAAUUUACAUCUUUGCAAUAAAACAUGAAUACAAUAGUUUUUUUUAGGGUUUCAUAGAUCCAAAAAUAUUUAACCUUUUUUUUUUUUUUGGAUAAGUAAGUUGAACCUGUGGAUUGAGUAUGUGCAUGUGCGCGUUUGAUCGAGAUGGCUUCACACAUACAGAACACCCUAGAUGUCAGCCUGCCUUUUGUCUGCUCCCACCAGCCUCUAACAGCUACAAAAAUCAUGAUAUUGCUUACAGCUGGGAUGUUGUAAAACUGAGAAUCACACGUCUUAAAUACACACAUUAAUGCACAAAUAAUCCAGAAGGAAAAAAAACGAAAAGAUGGACCGAAACAAAAAAGGGCGGCCGACC
Non-coding RNA from Oryzias latipes (Japanese medaka), 4721 nucleotides. The record is from RefSeq and is a predicted model, not a curated record. Lineage: Eukaryota; Metazoa; Chordata; Actinopteri; Beloniformes; Adrianichthyidae.